UUUCCGUAGGUGAACCUGCGGAAGGAUCAUUCAUAAUAAAGUGUUUUAUGGAACUUUUUAAAAAUCCAUAUCCACCUUGUGUGCAAUGUUAGAUCUCGUCAAUCUUGGCGAGAUUUUUAUACAUCAACUCAUUCUUUAACUAAUUUGUCUGAAAAAUAUUAUGAAUACUUAAUUCAAAAUACAACUUUCAACAACGGAUCUCUUGGCUCUC
RNAcentral lists this unclassified non-coding RNA (211 nucleotides) under plant metagenome. Its description in RNAcentral is "partial contains small subunit ribosomal RNA, internal transcribed spacer 1, and 5.8S ribosomal RNA". The record is from RNAcentral.